Molecule: ribosomal RNA, 502 nt
Filed under: uncultured bacterium
Lineage: Bacteria
Description: partial 16S ribosomal RNA
Rfam family: Bacterial small subunit ribosomal RNA
Source: RNAcentral
AUUGAACGCUGGCGGCACGCCUUACACAUGCAAGUCGAACGGCAGCAUGGGUGCUUGCACCUGAUGGCGAGUGGCGAACGGGUGAGUAAUGCAUCGGAACGUACCCGGAAGUGGGGGAUAACGUAGCGAAAGUUACGCUAAUACCGCAUAUUCUGUGAGCAGGAAAGAGGGGGAUCGCAAGACCUCUCGCUUUCGGAGCGGCCGAUGACGGAUUAGCUAGUUGGCGGGGUAAAGGCCCACCAAGGCAACGAUCCGUAGCGGGUCUGAGAGGAUGAUCCGCCACACUGGGACUGAGACGCGGCCCAGACUCCUACGGGAGGCAGCAGUGGGGAAUUUUGGACAAUGGGGGCAACCCUGAUCCAGCCAUGCCGCGUGAGUGAAGAAGGCCUUCGGGUUGUAAAGCUCUUUCGGCUGGGAAGAAAUCGCAUCUCCUAAUACGGGGUGUGGAUGACGGUACCAGCAUAAGAAGCACCGGCUAACUACGUGCCAGCCGCCGCAGUAA